RNAcentral lists this ribosomal RNA (253 nucleotides) under uncultured bacterium. RNAcentral describes it as "partial 16S ribosomal RNA". It matches the Rfam family "Bacterial small subunit ribosomal RNA", at positions 524 to 776 of the family's 1533-position model. The record is from RNAcentral.
UACGUAGGGGGCAAGCGUUGUCCGGAAUCAUUGGGCGUAAAGAGCGUGUAGGCGGCUCGGUAAGUCCGCUGUGAAAGUCCAGGGCUCAACCCUGGAAUGCCGGUGGAAACUGUCGAGCUAGAGUCCGGAAGAGGCGAGUGGAAUUCCUGGUGUAGCGGUGAAAUGCGCAGAUAUCAGGAGGAACACCAAUUGCGAGGGCAGCUCGCUGGGACGUUACUGACGCUGAGACGCGAAAGCGUGGGGAGCAAACAGG